CCUACGGGGGGCAGCAGUAGGGAAUCUUCCACAAUGGGCGCAAGCCUGAUGGAGCAACACCGCGUGAGUGAAGAAGGGUUUCGGCUCGUAAAGCUCUGUUGUUAAAGAAGAACACGUAUGAGAGUAACUGUUCAUACGUUGACGGUAUUUAACCAGAAAGUCACGGCUAACUACGUGCCAGCAGCCGCGGUAAUACGUAGGUGGCAAGCGUUAUCCGGAUUUAUUGGGCGUAAAGAGAGUGCAGGCGGUUUUCUAAGUCU
Molecule: ribosomal RNA, 260 nt
Filed under: uncultured Bacillota bacterium
Lineage: Bacteria; Bacillati; Bacillota
Description: uncultured Firmicutes bacterium partial 16S ribosomal RNA
Rfam family: Bacterial small subunit ribosomal RNA
Source: RNAcentral